UUAAUCCACAAGUGGAGAUCAUUAUCCUGAGGGGGAUAGCCCCUAUGAAACGGGAGUUAUCUUCCCUCCUGAUUAGGAAGGGAUCAGAGUGAGUGAUCAUCCUGAUACGUCCAGGUCCUUCUAUAAAUAACCUACGAGAGUGAGUGGGUGCUUGGAAAUCAAGAAGAUCUGGUCAAGGAUAUUACUGCUGAGUAGCAAUCAGAGCUGGAAAGAUUUGAAGCAUCAUUGGAAGGAUGUACAUGAUAUUUAGGAGUUAUAUAAUACUUGAAGCAUGCUCUUGCUUUUUUUUCCCCAUCAGUGUUGUGUGCAAGGUUACUGGCAUUGGUGCUCUUUCAAAGUGUCAUAAUUUGAGUUCAGAGACUGGAAUUGUAGCCAUGGAUAAAUCCUAUUUUUGAAUGACAGGAAAGGCUCAAUACAAGUUUGAAUGAAAGAGCUCUGGUCAAUGGAUUUUGUACUCAAUAAGGGGUCAUGGAAUGAUUUUGUGUAUUGACUUUGUAUAGGAUGUCAAAUUGUCUUCAAAUUUGUGCCAAGAAAAUGUAGAAAAGCAAACCCAUUUGACCUUGAUAUCUACAAGCCCAAGAGGUCAUUCGAAAAAAGGCCUUUCACACCUAUUUAUAAGCAAUUUUAAAUUCUACAUUCGAGUAAUAUGCAAGCAUCUAUUUUUAUAUACUCAA
Juglans microcarpa x Juglans regia is the source of this 674-nucleotide long non-coding RNA. RefSeq lists it as uncharacterized. The record is from RefSeq and is a predicted model, not a curated record. The transcript is spliced from 4 exons. NCBI's taxonomy places the organism in Eukaryota, Viridiplantae, Streptophyta, Magnoliopsida, Fagales, Juglandaceae.